CGUAAAGGAAGGUGGAUUACUCAUUACACGGAUGUUGAAAAGGUUCCAUGCUUCAAAGUGGGGCAGCAUGUUCGGUUUAGAACUGGAUUAGUUGAGCCGAGAUGGGCUUGGAGGCAUGCGCUGCCUGAUUCUCGAGGCAUAAUAACCACUGUUCAUGCUGAUGGAGAAGUGAGGGUUGCUUUCUGUGGUUUGCCAGCAUUGUGGAGGGC
RNAcentral lists this unclassified non-coding RNA (209 nucleotides) under Hevea brasiliensis (rubber tree). Lineage: Eukaryota; Viridiplantae; Streptophyta; Magnoliopsida; Malpighiales; Euphorbiaceae. The record is from RNAcentral.